CACGUAGGGUGCGAGCGUUGUCCGGAAUUAUUGGGCGUAAAGAGCUCGUAGGCGGUGUGUCGCGUCGGCCGUGAAAACCUGCAGCUCAACUGUGGGCUUGCGGUCGAUACGGGCAUCACUGGAGUUCGGCAGGGGAGACUGGAAUUCCUGGUGUAGCGGUGAAAUGCGCAGAUAUCAGGAGGAACACCGGUGGCGAAGGCGGGUCGCUGGGCCGAUACUGACGCUGAGGAGCGAAAGCGUGGGGAGCGAACAGG
Molecule: ribosomal RNA, 254 nt
Filed under: uncultured bacterium
Lineage: Bacteria
Description: partial 16S ribosomal RNA
Rfam family: Bacterial small subunit ribosomal RNA
Source: RNAcentral